UGAGAAGCCAAAAGAUGAUGGAGUCUCGGAAGACAAAAGUACUCAGGGUGGUGUAUUGAACUGGAUCUCUCAGGGUUUGACCAGUGCCCUCCCCCAGCCUACAGCCCCACCUACCAAGGACAAAGCAGACAGUGAUGCCAAGCAACAGGAGGAAAAUAGCAACAG
Molecule: long non-coding RNA, 165 nt
Organism: Hemibagrus wyckioides
Lineage: Eukaryota; Metazoa; Chordata; Actinopteri; Siluriformes; Bagridae
Exons: 3
Source: RefSeq, a predicted model, not a curated record